Parus major (Great Tit) is the source of this 3274-nucleotide RNA transcript. It is a transcript of the gene named splicing factor 3a subunit 1, with no coding region annotated. Lineage: Eukaryota; Metazoa; Chordata; Aves; Passeriformes; Paridae. The record is from RefSeq and is a predicted model, not a curated record. The transcript has 15 exons.
UCCCCUAUCCCAGGGUGUUCCAAGUCUUGUCCAGCUGGCCUUGGACACUUCCAGGGAUCAGUUUGACUGAGAACAUUUUCUGGCUUGGAUUCUCCAUGGAUUUGGCAGAGCUGGGAGCUUUACCUGGAUUUUAAGUUAUCCCUGACUGUCCCUGUUAGGAUUAUAAACAUUUCCAGCAGGUCUGUCCUGGUUUAUAACACUUUUUCUUGGAAGCUGCUUGGUGAGGAAAGGGAAACAGCAUCUUUAGUAUCCUGCAAAAGCAGCUUCUGGUUUUACUGGAAUACAGAGCCAUCCACAAGGAGGGUUCUGGGAUUUUAGUUUGGAUCCUCCUGUAACAUCAGUGAGAUAAACACUGUUGGAGAUUUUCUCUUCAAAACAGCUUCUGUUGCAACUACAGCAUUAAAGCAGUGUUUUAUUUAAUGUGGAGUUAAUAACUCAGGUCCCACAGGCCCCUUGGAACAUUCAGAAUUGCCACACCUGGUGAGGAAUGAUGAAUUAUUUCUGUAAAUGUUAGUGGAGCCUCUUGGCUCAGCAUUUAAAAACAUACUUGGAGUCAAGGCUGAAAUAGUGAAAAUUGUUUUGGUUCCCAUGGAGGCACCUUCCUUUGUUUCCUGCUGUCCCUGCCCCUACAGCAGGUGCCCCUGAGAGGCAGAAAAAGGUUGUCUCUCCCUCUGAGAAGCCAAGGAAUUGGUGAGAUGGAUGAUCCAGGUUGUUCAAUCAAUUCAGUGAUUGAGGGGCUGAGGAGGAAGAUGAGUAAAUGUGUGCUGUUGGAAUUGUGUUUGUAGUGCACAAUCCUGACACCCCUUCACCUUUUGUAAUGAAACAAUCUUUAUUACAGCCAGAAGAGGAGCCUAAAGAGGAAGCAGCACCAGCCAAGCCUGUGGUGGGAAUUAUUUACCCUCCUCCAGAGGUCAGGAAUAUUGUGGACAAGACUGCCAGCUUUGUAGCCAGAAAUGGUCCAGAAUUUGAAGCCCGAAUUCGUCAGAAUGAAAUAAAUAACCCCAAGUUCAACUUCUUGAACCCAAAUGACCCUUACCAUGCCUACUACCGGCACAAGGUCACCGAGUUCAAGGAGGGCAAAGCCCAGGAGCCCUCAGCUGCCAUCCCCAAGGUCAUGCAGCAGCAGCAGAGUGCCCAGCAGCAGCUCCCACAGAAAGUGCAGGCCCAGGUGAUCCAGGAGACGGUGGUUCCCAAGGAGCCCCCGCCCGAGUUCGAGUUCAUCGCGGACCCUCCGUCCAUCUCGGCCUUCGACCUGGACGUGGUGAAGCUCACGGCGCAGUUCGUGGCCCGCAAUGGGAGGCAGUUCCUCACCCAGCUCAUGCAGAAGGAGCAGAGGAAUUACCAGUUUGAUUUCCUUCGCCCCCAGCACAGCCUGUUCAACUACUUCACCAAGCUGGUGGAGCAGUACACAAAGAUCUUGAUCCCACCAAAGGGCUUACUCCUCAAGCUCAAGAAGGAGGCUGAAAAUCCUAAGGAAGUCCUAGAUCAGGUCUAUUACAGAGUGGAGUGGGCCAAGUUCCAGGAGCGAGAGAGAAAGAAGGAAGAGGAGGAGAAGGAGAAGGAGCGUGUUGCUUAUGCCCAGAUUGACUGGCAUGACUUUGUGGUUGUGGAAACAGUUGACUUCCAGCCCAACGAACAAGGGAAUUUCCCUCCUCCCACCACUCCAGAAGAGCUGGGAGCUCGAAUCCUGAUCCAAGAGCGUUACGAGAAGUUUGGAGAAAGUGAGGAGGUGGAGAUGGAGGUGGAAUCAGAUGAGGAAGAUGAAAAGCAAGAGAAAACAGAUGAGCCUCCAGUCCAGCUGGAUCAGGACACACAAGUGCAAGAUAUGGAUGAGGGGUCAGAUGAUGAAGAUGAAGGUCAGAAGGUUCCUCCUCCUCCAGAAACCCCAAUGCCACCCCCACUCCCUCCCACACCAGAUCAGGUCAUUGUGCGGAAAGAUUACGAUCCCAAAGCCUCAAAACCAUUACCACCUGCCCCGGCUCCUGAUGAGUACCUCGUGUCUCCCAUCACUGGAGAAAAGAUUCCUGCCAGUAAAAUGCAGGAGCACAUGAGGAUUGGGCUCCUGGAUCCACGGUGGCUGGAGCAGCGGGAUCGAUCCAUCCGCGAGAAGCAGAGUGAUGAUGAAGUCUAUGCCCCAGGUUUGGAUAUUGAGAGCAGCCUGAAGCAGCUGGCAGAGCGUCGUACUGAUAUCUUUGGUGUAGAGGAGACAGCCAUUGGUAAAAAGAUUGGAGAAGAAGAGAUCCAGAAACCAGAGGAAAAGGUGACCUGGGAUGGCCACUCAGGCAGCAUGGCCCGCACACAGCAGGCUGCUCAGGCCAACAUCACUCUGCAAGAGCAAAUUGAAGCCAUCCACAAGGCCAAGGGACUGGUGCCAGAGGAUGACAGCAAGGAGAAGAUUGGGCCCAGCAAACCCAAUGAGAUACCCCAGCCACCCCCUCCUUCCUCAGCCUCCAACCCCCCUGCCAGCGCCCAGCCCAUCACAUCCGUACCUCGUCCACCCACCAUGCCUCCUCCCGUCCGCGCCGCCGUGGUUUCUGCAGUUCCGGUCAUGCCUCGUCCCCCCAUGACCUCCGUGGUCCGGCUGCCCCCAGGAUCCGUCAUAGCCACCCCCAUGCCUCCCAUAAUCCACACCCCACGCAUCAACGUGGUGCCCAUGCCCCCCUCUGCUCCCCCCAUCAUGAGCCCCCGCCCGCCCCCCAUGAUAGUCCCCACAGCCUUUGUCCCCGCUCCUCCCGUGGCUCCGGUCCCGUCCCCGGCGCCGAUGCCUCCCGUUCACCCCCCACCACCCAUGGAGGAUGAGCCAGUCUCCAAGAAACUGAAGAGUGAGGACAGCCUGAUUCCAGAGGAGGAAUUUCUGCGCAGGAACAAGGUACAUGGUGUGGGUCAGAGUCCUGGGCUGCUCCACUCCAGCUCCAAAGCAAAUUCCCUGCACAGAGGGGCAAAAAUACCUGGCAAGAAAGGGACUUCCUGAGGGCCCAGUCACGGUCAAAGUCCAGGUUCCCAACAUGCAGGACAAGACGGAAUGGAAGCUGAAUGGCCAAGUGCUGGUGUUCACCCUGCCCCUCUCAGACCAGGUGUCUGUUAUAAAGGUUAAGAUCCAUGAGGCCACAGGGAUGCCAGCUGGGAAGCAGAAGCUGCAGUAUGAGGGCAUCUUCAUCAAGGAUUCCAACUCCCUGGCUUAUUACAACAUGACAAGUGGCUCUCUGAUUCACCUGGCACUCAAAGAGAGAGGAGGCAGGAAGAAAUAGGAGACAUGGAGACCUGAGACGUAAUG